RNAcentral lists this ribosomal RNA (253 nucleotides) under uncultured bacterium. RNAcentral describes it as "partial 16S ribosomal RNA". It matches the Rfam family "Bacterial small subunit ribosomal RNA", at positions 524 to 776 of the family's 1533-position model. The record is from RNAcentral.
UACGUAGGGGGCAAGCGUUGUCCGGAUUUAUUGGGCGUAAAGAGCGUGUAGGCGGCCUUACAGGUCAGCUGUGAAAACUCGAGGCUCAACCUCGAGACGUCGGUUGAAACCGUAAGGCUAGAGUCCGGAAGAGGAGAGUGGAAUUCCCGGUGUAGCGGUGAAAUGCUCAGAUAUCGGGAAGAACACCCGUGGCGAAGGCGGCUCUCUGGGACGGUACUGACGCUGAGACGCGAAAGCGUGGGGAGCGAACAGG